This is a long non-coding RNA of Solanum pennellii, 636 nucleotides long. RefSeq lists it as uncharacterized. NCBI's taxonomy places the organism in Eukaryota, Viridiplantae, Streptophyta, Magnoliopsida, Solanales, Solanaceae. The record is from RefSeq and is a predicted model, not a curated record. The transcript has 3 exons.
CUGACACGCUAGUUGGGGAGUUUGAUGAAGCUAUAGAUUUUAGCGGAACUGAUGCAAUAGUGAAACGGGAGGGAGGAAGGAGAGCUUAUAGGUUUGGCCAUGAGGGUUUUAAUUCAGGACAUAGUUUGGGAAAUAUCUUGAAGACAUUGUCCUGCUUGGCCGACAAUUGUACUUGAUUUAGAAAGAAAAGCUCCUCAAUUAUUGUGUUGCUAGAACAGUAUGUGUCAUGUUCUUUGGCUACUUUGGAAAUGGCACCGAAGGGAUAAUGCAUGGAUUAAACGUGGGAUGCUAUUUCCAUUGAUUGAACAUGUAGACAGGUUGCAGGGGCAGACUGGGCUAACGAUAGCACACCUAUUGAUCUUCACUCUACAAUAGAAGAGGCGUUUUUUUGAUGAAAAUGGUGUUAUUGAGAUGUUGAUGGUUGAAAUAAUUGCCAAAGCUGGUAAUCUCGACCAUCUCCGGUCUCUUCUCCGAGGAGUAUUCGAGGCUUGUGAUUCAAAUCAGGACCAAGAUUGUAACUCCCCAAGCCAGGCACGUUUAUGUUGAGUAAAUAUUGAAUAAAUAAUUUUGGUCUUCGUGGAAUAAAUAUCUGUGUGGAUGAGGAACAUAUCUGAGACAUGUGAUUUUCAAAUUCAA